RNAcentral lists this ribosomal RNA (814 nucleotides) under uncultured bacterium. Its description in RNAcentral is "bacterial SSU rRNA". It matches the Rfam family "Bacterial small subunit ribosomal RNA", at positions 8 to 813 of the family's 1533-position model. The record is from RNAcentral.
AGAGUUUGAUCCUGGCUCAGGACGAACGCUGGCGGCGUGCUUAACACAUGCAAGUCGAAGGGCAUCGCGGGGAGUGCUUGCACUCCCUGGCGGCGACUGGCGCACGGGUGAGUAACACGUAUGCAACCUGCCCUCCACAGGGGGACAACCUUCCGAAAGGGAGGCUAAUCCCGCGUAAAUCUCGAUGGGGCAUCCCAUUGAGAGGAAAGCUUCGGCGGUGGAGGAUGGGCAUGCGGCGCUUUAGCUAGUCGGCGGGGUAACGGCCCACCGAGGCGACGACGCGUAGGGGUUCUGAGAGGAAGGUCCCCCACACUGGUACUGAGACACGGAUCAGACUCCUACGGGAGGCAGCAGUGAGGAAUAUUGGUCAAUGGGCGGGAGCCUGAACCAGCCAAGCCGCGUGAGGGAAUAAGGCCCUAUGGGUCGUAAACCUCUUUUGUCGGGGAACAAAAGCGGGGACGCGUCCCCGUCUGCGUGUACCCGAAGAAAAAGCAUCGGCUAACUCCGUGCCAGCAGCCGCGGUAAUACGGAGGAUGCGAGCGUUAUCCGGAUUUAUUGGGUUUAAAGGGUGCGUAGGCGGUAUGGUAAGUCUGCGGUAAAAGCCCGGGGCUCAACCCCGGCGAGCCGUUGAAACUGCCGUGCUAGAGAGGAAGAGAAGUAGGCGGAAUGCGCAGUGUAGCGGUGAAAUGCUUAGAUAUUGCGCAGAACUCCGAUUGCGAAGGCAGCCUACCGGCUUCUGUCUGACGCUGGGGCACGAAAGCGUGGGUAUCGAACAGGAUUAGAUACCCUGGUAGUCCACGCAGUAAACGAUGAG